UUGAUCCUGGCUCAGAACGAACGCUGGCGGCAAGCUUAACACAUGCAAGUCGAACGGACAGUUAUUUAUAGCCUCGGCUAUAAGUAUCUGUUAGUGGCAGACGGGUGAGUAAUGCGUAGGAAUCUGCCUAGUAGUAUGGAAUAGCUAUUAGAAAUGAUAGGUAAUACUGUAUAAUCCCUGAGGGGGAAAGAUUUAUCGCUAUUAGAUGAGCCUACGUUAGAUUAGCUAGUUGGUAAGGUAAUGGCUUACCAAGGCAAUGAUCUAUAGCUGGUCUGAGAGGACGAUCAGCCACACUGGAACUGAGAUACGGUCCAGACUCCUACGGGAGGCAGCAGUGGGGAAUAUUGGACAAUGGGCGAAAGCCUGAUCCAG
This 372-nucleotide ribosomal RNA is filed under the name Ehrlichia ruminantium (heartwater rickettsia). Its description in RNAcentral is "bacterial SSU rRNA". It matches the Rfam family "Bacterial small subunit ribosomal RNA", at positions 13 to 391 of the family's 1533-position model. Lineage: Bacteria; Pseudomonadati; Pseudomonadota; Alphaproteobacteria; Rickettsiales; Anaplasmataceae. The record is from RNAcentral.